UAUCUCUGUAGAGUCUGCAUAUCAAUAAGCGGAGGAAAAGAAACUAACAAGGAUUCCCUUAGUAACGGCGAGUGAAGCGGGAAGAGCUCAAAUUUGAAAUCUUCAAGGUUCUACCUUGACGAAUUGUAGUUUAAAGAAGUGUUUUCUGUUAGUGGAGUGGCAAAAGUUCUUUGGAAUAGGACAUCAUAGAGGGUGAGAAUCCCGUAUUUGGUCAUUCCUUCUAGCUUUGUGAUACACUUUCAAAGAGUCGGAUUGUUUGGGAAUGCAGUCCAAAAUGGGUGGUAAAUUUCAUCUAAAGCUAAAUAUUGGCGAGAGACCGAUAGCGAACAAGUACCGUGAGGGAAAGAUGAAAAGAACUUUGAAAAGAGAGUUAAACAGUACGUGAAAUUGUCAAAAGGGAAGCGUUUGACACCAGUGUUGUUUUCUCGAAAAUCAAUUAAAAAUGGCCGGAUUUUGUGUUGUAUUGACUUUAUCAGCUUUCUGCACUUUUUUCUUGUCUUUUUUAAUGCACUUUUCGUCUAACAAGUCAACAUCAAUUUCUUUUGUUGUAAAAGGGUCAUUGGAAGGAGGCUUUCUUUUCGGAGAAAGUGUUUAUAGCCUUUGGCCUCUGCAAUCGGAGAGAUUGAGGUCUGCAGCGUAGAUCCUUCGGGGUUAGAUACAUUUGUGCUAAGUUAUAGCCUUUCAUAGACAACUUGUUGACUAUGAUCAGUCAUGUAGCUUACUCGCUUAUGCUAUUUACCUACGCUUAGGAUGUUGAGUAGCGACAUACGCAC
RNAcentral lists this ribosomal RNA (773 nucleotides) under uncultured Neocallimastigales. Its description in RNAcentral is "partial large subunit ribosomal RNA". It matches the Rfam family "Eukaryotic large subunit ribosomal RNA", at positions 24 to 649 of the family's 3401-position model. Lineage: Eukaryota; Fungi; Neocallimastigomycota; Neocallimastigomycetes; Neocallimastigales. The record is from RNAcentral.